UACGGAGGGGGCUAGCGUUGCUCGGAAUUACUGGGCGUAAAGCGCAUGUAGGCGGCGAUUCAAGUUAGAUGUGAAAGGCCCGGGCUCAACCCGGGAACUGCAUUUGAUACUGAAUUGCUAGAGUCCAAGAGAGGGUAGUGGAAUUCCCAGUGUAGAGGUGAAAUUCGUAGAUAUUGGGAAGAACACCAGUGGCGAAGGCGGCUACCUGGCUUGGUACUGACGCUCAGAUGCGAAAGCGUGGGGAGCAAACAGG
RNAcentral lists this ribosomal RNA (253 nucleotides) under uncultured bacterium. Its description in RNAcentral is "partial 16S ribosomal RNA". It matches the Rfam family "Bacterial small subunit ribosomal RNA", at positions 524 to 776 of the family's 1533-position model. The record is from RNAcentral.